Molecule: ribosomal RNA, 449 nt
Filed under: uncultured bacterium
Lineage: Bacteria
Description: partial 16S ribosomal RNA
Rfam family: Bacterial small subunit ribosomal RNA
Source: RNAcentral
AGCGAACGCUGGCGGCAGGCCUAACACAUGCAAGUCGAACGAAGUCUUCGGACUUAGUGGCGGACGGGUGAGUAACACGUGGGAACGUGCCUUUAGGUUCGGAAUAACUCAGGGAAACUUGUGCUAAUACCGAAUGUGCCCUUCGGGGGAAAGAUUUAUACGCCUUUAGAGCGGCCGCGUCCGAUUAGCUAGUUGGGGAGGUAAAGGCUCACCAAGGCGACGAUCAGUAGCUGGUCUGAGAGGAUGAUCAGCCACAUUGGGACUGAGACACGGCCCAAACUCCUACGGGAGGCAGCAGUGGGGAAUCUUGCGCAAUGGGCGAAAGCCUGACGCAGCCAUGCCGCGUGAAUGAUGAAGGUCUUAGGAUUGUAAAAUUCUUUCACCGGGGACGAUAAUGACGGUACCCGGAGAAGAAGCCCCGGCUAACUUCGUGCCAGCCGCCGCAGUAA